RNAcentral lists this ribosomal RNA (496 nucleotides) under uncultured bacterium. RNAcentral's name for it is "partial 16S ribosomal RNA". It matches the Rfam family "Bacterial small subunit ribosomal RNA", at positions 29 to 507 of the family's 1533-position model. The record is from RNAcentral.
AUGAACGCUGGCGGCGUGCCUAAUACAUGCAAGUCGAGCGAACAGACGAGGAGCAUGCUCCUCUGACGUUAGCGGCGGACGGGUGAGUAACACGUGGAUAACCUACCUAUAAGACUGGGAUAACUUCGGGAAACCGGAGCUAAUACCGGAUAAUAUAUUGAACCGCAUGGUUCAAUAGUGAAAGACGGUUUUGCUGUCACUUAUAGAUGGAUCCGCGCCGCAUUAGCUAGUUGGUAAGGUAACGGCUUACCAAGGCAACGAUGCGUAGCCGACCUGAGAGGGUGAUCGGCCACACUGGAACUGAGACACGGUCCAGACUCCUACGGGAGGCAGCAGUAGGGAAUCUUCCGCAAUGGGCGAAAGCUUGACGGAGCAACGCCGCGUGAGUGAUGAAGGUCUUCGGAUCGUAAAACUCUGUUAUUAGGGAAGAACAAAUGUGUAAGUAACUAUGCACGUCUUGACGGUACCUAAUCAGAAAGCCACGGCUAACUACGUG